RNAcentral lists this long non-coding RNA (421 nucleotides) under Androctonus crassicauda. Lineage: Eukaryota; Metazoa; Arthropoda; Arachnida; Scorpiones; Buthidae. The record is from RNAcentral.
GGUUUAGAGUCUAGGACCUGCAUAGUCUGGUCCGGAUUAUGCAGGUCUUAGAUUUUAAAUUAUGUAGCUUUAGAUGGAAUAUCAGUACCUUCUUAUGUGCAUGAGGUUUUAACAUUAGGCCCAAAUAUUUUAAUCCAGAAUAUUCCGUCGUGGCAGAAUAUGGCAAUACAACUGGAGCCAGCCUUAUCUGAUUGUCAUCCGAUACAGGCAGAAGAGUUACGGUGGCAAAUAGCAUCCUCUAUUAAGAACUUUAAUGGUGCAGAAUUGAAAGCAACAUGUAACAAAGUUAGAGCUGCUAAAGAGUGGUUGGAUUCAAAUAACAUCGUUUGUGCGCAUGAUGAUAAGACUCGGAUGAUAAUUCUUCUCAAUAAAGGAACUUAUGAUACGUAUUUAAAUGCCUUCCUAGAGCAAAGUAGAAGUC